Molecule: signal recognition particle RNA, 99 nt
Filed under: Bacillota bacterium
Lineage: Bacteria; Bacillati; Bacillota
Also listed under: 2 other names
Description: signal recognition particle sRNA small type
Rfam family: Bacterial small signal recognition particle RNA
About the family: The signal recognition particle (SRP) is a universally conserved ribonucleoprotein involved in the co-translational targeting of proteins to membranes. Archaeal SRP consists of a 7S RNA and homologues of the eukaryotic SRP19 and SRP54 proteins.
Source: RNAcentral
AAGCAGGUCUUCCGCGGCGGACGGCUGCGAACCAUGUCAGGCGGGGAACCGAGCAGCAUUAAGCAGUUGCGGUCCGAGCGCGGGAGGCGCCUGCUUAUC